UAAAAUCACUAGGGGUGCCAUAAACGGCUGAGAGAGGUAAUGAACCUUAACCCUUAUAACCUGAUCUAGUUUGGACUAGCGGAGGGAAGUGUAUACGAAUCAGU
Molecule: non-coding RNA, 104 nt
Filed under: Shouchella lehensis G1
Lineage: Bacteria; Bacillati; Bacillota; Bacilli; Caryophanales; Bacillaceae
Description: Bacillus lehensis G1 TPP riboswitch aptamer (THI element)
Rfam family: TPP riboswitch aptamer (THI element)
About the family: Vitamin B(1) in its active form thiamin pyrophosphate (TPP) is an essential coenzyme that is synthesised by coupling of pyrimidine and thiazole moieties in bacteria. The previously detected thiamin-regulatory element, thi box was extended, resulting in a new, highly conserved RNA secondary structure, the THI element, which is widely distributed in eubacteria and also occurs in some archaea. Analysis of operon structures identified a large number of new candidate thiamin-regulated genes, mostly transporters, in various prokaryotic organisms.
Source: Rfam by way of RNAcentral